This 305-nucleotide ribosomal RNA is filed under the name uncultured bacterium. RNAcentral's name for it is "bacterial SSU rRNA". It matches the Rfam family "Bacterial small subunit ribosomal RNA", at positions 338 to 657 of the family's 1533-position model. The record is from RNAcentral.
CCUACGGGAGGCAGCAGUGGGGAAUAUUGGGCAAUGGAGGCAACUCUGACCCAGCAACGCCGCGUGAGUGAUGAAGGUCUUCGGAUUGUAAAACUCUUUAAGUGGGGACGAAGAAAGUGACUGUACCCACAGAAUAAGCCUCGGCUAACUACGUGCCAGCAGCCACGGUAACACGUAGGAGGCAAGCGUUAUCCGGAAUGACUGGGCGCAAAGGGUGCGUAGGUGGUUUGGCAAGUUAGUAGCGUAAUUCCGGGGCUCAACUUCGGAACUACUACUAAAACUGCUGGGCUUGAGUGCAGGAGGGG